RNAcentral lists this long non-coding RNA (2499 nucleotides) under Nicotiana benthamiana. Its description in RNAcentral is "long non-coding RNA (NBEN_LNC019345)". Lineage: Eukaryota; Viridiplantae; Streptophyta; Magnoliopsida; Solanales; Solanaceae. The record is from RNAcentral.
AUAUGUAUAAUAAUGUAUAGAGGUGUUAAUAUAUUCAUAUACAUUGUUUAUACAAACUGCUAUAUAGUUAUGAUUUUUAGACAAGAGGGGUUGCUCUGAUGGUAAGCAACCUCCACUUCCAACCGAGAGGUUGUGAGUUCGAGUCUCCCCAAGAGCAAGGUGGGAAGUUCUUGGAGGGAAGAUGUCGGGGGUCUAUUUGGAAACAGCCUCUCUACCCAAGGGUAGAGAUAAUGAUUGCGCACAUACUACCCUCCCCAGACCCCACUAUGUGAUAUUAUAUUGGAUUGUUGUUGUCGUUGUUGUUGCUGUUGCUGCCGUUGCUGUUGUUGUUGUUGUUGUUGUUGUUGUUGUUGUUGUUGUUGUUGUUGUUGUUGUUGUUGUUGUUAUUGUUGUUGUUGUAUAUAGUUAUGAUUUUUAUCCAAGCCUCGAGUUGUAGUGGAAGAUAUUAGACGAUUCAACUCGUCUAUAGGUUAGCAAUUUUGCGCCAACGAUUCAGAAUUCAAUGCACAUAUGCGAUACACCGAAUUUCAGAUUCGAGACUUCAAGGAGGACAAUACACAUAUCACAGAAAUCAAUAACUUGGAAAUUAAGAUUUCAAACUUCCGAUCUAGCUUUCAAAUCAAUAACUUGGGAAUCAAUGAUUUAGCCUCCGAUCUUUUCUCCUUGGAGCUCGACCAGAAAUUGGAAAUUAAGGUUUCAAACUGCAAAGAGUCAGAUCCAAAAAUCUUCAAUAUUCUUCUGCUUGCCACCAUGGACGACGGAGUAGGAGUCCGAGCCUUCUUUAAGCGAUUGAUGGCAAAAAUGCGUAGGGGGUAGCGGAGGGGAAAUAGCGGGGGCUAGGUUGAGAAAGGAUGUGAGAUCUAUGUGGGUUGGAAAUAAAGAAGCGAAAGGCGGUGAGAGAGAAUUUUGUGUGCUGGGAAUGAAGAACAAAGAAAAUAAUAAAAACCCUAAAAGUGUAUCUUUAAUACUGGCUAAAGACUGAAAAGUUUAUUUCAAGUUAUUUACAACAUAUCCUAAAUAGGGUAAGAGCUUCAAAUCUGGGCCAUAAUGUAAAUUUAUAGUAAUAUAGUAAGAUCUCUUUAUAAGAGCAUCCUUAUAUAAUAUAGUACCUCAUUAUAAAAGUCAAAAUUUUCCGUAUCCAAAUUUCAUAUUCCGUUAUAAUAUAUGUUCUCUAUAACAGUAAUAGUCUGUAACAUCCAAAAAUAUUUGAACCAUAUAAAACAUAUAAAGUUGUUUGAUUAUAUAUAAAAGUAUCUUAUAUCGUGUGGAUUUUUUUUUCUAUAUGUCAUAUCUAUUAACUCCUAUAAAAUCACAUCACUUGCGACAAACCAUAUUAAAAUUACAAAUUUUCAAAAUACAUUAAUAUAUCCGUCUUUGUUAUACAAACGAAGUAUUCUAUUACCUAAAAAUUAUUUGUAGAGUUUUCUUUGACCGACACACCAUUAGCAAUUUCAGAAAAUUAUUUGACAACCUUAAACAUUGUUGGUGCUAGCUUAUACUUUACACCUUUUAAUGUAUCUAUUUUGCUUUAAUAAAGAGACGAAAGCAUAUCAAAGAAGAUCUAAAUUAGUUACAAACUAUAUUGAAAUAUAAGAACUAUCGAAUAUUUCAUGUAAAACCAAGUUCUUGGUCAUGCUUUGCCUUAACAUAAUUGAUUUCUCGGACAAAAAAAAAAAGAUUUCUCGAACUUUCUACGCUCCAGCCUAUUUUUUAAUUGUAAUUUUCAGCUAAAAAGUAAUUCAGCACCCACGAUUUAAAUUUUUCUGAAUCCGUGGCUAGAUCUAUAACAUGAAAUUGUCUCACUUAAUCAAGGUUAGGUAGUAAUAUAUUUUCACCUAUUAAUCUGAGCUCAUAGCUGGACCUUGGAAUUCCAGAUCAGAUUCUUUGGCUCACAAAAGAAAAUUAACAAAACAAAUAGACCAAAACAAAAAUUGAACAACCUGACGGAAAGAAAACACAGCAAAACAAUCGAAGAGUGUAUUAAUUAGAUAAACCUGGUCAUUCAAAAAUUGGUGAUAUAAAUCGUUAAACAACAGUAUAAAGAAUGAGUUCAGUGCUAUCAAUUUUCGUCUUUGAAACAACCGCCCCAAAUCGAACCCCAGACACGUCUUCACUGCCGGAAACGCCAAUCUGGUGGUCGUGGUGGUGGUGGCCGCCGAAGAACUGGAGGUUGUAAAAAUCGCUAUGGUGAUCUUCCUCGUGUUUGCAGUUGCUAGGAGGAUGGUAAUACAUACGCGAUGUUUGAGGACAGUGAGAGUUGAAUCUCGCCACUAUUCUCGUCGCCGCGUCCAGCAACUCGACGUACUUCCCCAUUUUCCGAUAUAAGAAUAACGGGAAGUAUGAAAGGAAAAUGAGGAAGAAAGAGAAUGUGUUAGAAAGCGUCCCAAAUGUCGGAGCCCAUAAAAUUUGGGGCUUUGCUUUGCUUGACGUAAAUAUGAGCCGUGUGAGGGGUUAUUUAUAUACUGGGGUUUGGGGUUUGCUUUUUUACUUUUCUUUUCG